GGCGCACGGGUGAGUAACGCGUACGCAAUCUACCCUUAGCUGGGGAAUAGCCCCGGGAAACUGGGAUUAAUACCCCAUAGCACUACCAGUAUGCAUAUACAGGUAGUUAAAGCUCUGGCGGCUAAGGAUGAGCGUGCGUCCUAUUAGGUUGUUGGUGAGGUAACGGCUCACCAAGCCUGCGAUAGGUAGGGGGCGUGAGAGCGUGAUCCCCCACACGGGUACUGAGACACGGACCCG
This 237-nucleotide ribosomal RNA is filed under the name uncultured bacterium. Its description in RNAcentral is "partial 16S ribosomal RNA". It matches the Rfam family "Bacterial small subunit ribosomal RNA", at positions 97 to 334 of the family's 1533-position model. The record is from RNAcentral.